Non-coding RNA from Apiotrichum porosum, 132 nucleotides. NCBI's taxonomy places the organism in Eukaryota, Fungi, Basidiomycota, Tremellomycetes, Trichosporonales, Trichosporonaceae. The record is from the annotation of a RefSeq genome assembly.
GGUUUGAUCGUAUAACGGUUAGUACACAAGAUUCUGAAGACCAACAGCCCCCCUUCUCCUCCUUCCAGAGGUCGAGGUGGCGUCCUACCUGUCGUCGUUCUUGUAAUCUGGGUUCGAUUCCCAGUCGGACCU